CCUACGGGAGGCAGCAGUGGGGGAUAUUGCACAAUGGGGGAAACCCUGAUGCAGCGACGCCGCGUGGGUGAAGAAGUAUUUCGGUAUGUAAAGCCCUAUCAGCAGGGAAGAAAGAAGACGGUACCUGACUAAGAAGCCCCGGCUAACUACGUGCCAGCAGCCGCGGUAAUACGUAGGGGGCGAGCGUUAUCCGGAUUCACUGGGUGUAAAGGGAGCGUAGACGGCCGUGCAAGCCAGGAGUGAAAGCCCGGGGCCCAACCCCGGGACUGCACUUGAAACUGUGCGGCUGGAGUGCGGGAGGGGCAGGCGGAAUUCCUGGUGUAGCGGUGAAAUGCGUAGAUAUCAGGAGGAACACCGGCGGCGAAGGCGGCCUGCUGGACCGCGACUGACGUUGAGGCUCGAAAGCGUGGGGAGCGAACAGGAUUAGAUACCCCUGUAGUC
This 441-nucleotide ribosomal RNA is filed under the name uncultured bacterium. Its description in RNAcentral is "partial 16S ribosomal RNA". It matches the Rfam family "Bacterial small subunit ribosomal RNA", at positions 338 to 795 of the family's 1533-position model. The record is from RNAcentral.